This 524-nucleotide ribosomal RNA is filed under the name uncultured bacterium. RNAcentral describes it as "partial 16S ribosomal RNA". It matches the Rfam family "Bacterial small subunit ribosomal RNA", at positions 28 to 523 of the family's 1533-position model. The record is from RNAcentral.
GACGAACGCUGGCGGCGUGCUUAACACAUGCAAGUCGAACGGACAGACAGAGAGCUUGCUCUCUUGAAGUUAGUGGCGAACGGGUGAGUAACGCGUAAUUAACCUGCCCUUCAGAGGGGGAUAACAACGGGAAACCGUUGCUAAUACCGCGUACGAUUCAUGAACGGCAUCGUUUAUGAAUGAAAGGUGGCCUCUAUGUAUAAGCUAUCGCGGAAGGAGGGGCUUGGGUCUGGUUAGCUAGUUGUAGGGGUAACGGCCCACCAAGGCAAUGAUCAGUAGCCGGUCUGAGAGGAUGAACGGCCACAUUGGGACUGAGACACGGCCCAAACUCCUACGGGAGGCAGCAGUGGGGAAUCUUCCGCAAUGGACGAAAGUCUGACGGAGCAACGCCGCGUGAGUGAUGAAGGUCUUCGGAUUGUAAAGCUCUGUUAAUCGGGACGAAAGAGUUCUGCGUGAAUAAUGCAGAAAAGUGACGGUACCGGAAUAGAAAGCCACGGCUAACUACGUGCCAGCCGCCGCAGUAA